This 434-nucleotide ribosomal RNA is filed under the name Chromodoris magnifica. Its description in RNAcentral is "partial 16S ribosomal RNA". It matches the Rfam family "Bacterial large subunit ribosomal RNA", at positions 1817 to 2596 of the family's 2925-position model. Lineage: Eukaryota; Metazoa; Mollusca; Gastropoda; Nudibranchia; Chromodorididae. The record is from RNAcentral.
AGCCUUUGGAAAGGAUUAAAGGUUAUACCUGCCCAAUGUUAUAUUAAUGGCCGCGGUACUUUGACCGUGCUAAGGUAGCACAAUCAAUUGGCCCUUAAUUAGGGUCAGGUAUGAAUGGAGUUACGGGGCUUAGCUGUCUCUAGACUAUUUAAUUGAAGUUGCUAUAUAGGUGAAAAAGCCUGUAUUAAGAAAAAAGACGAGAAGACCCUUAGAGUUUUACUUAAAAAAGAGUUAUUUCUUCACUAGUUUUGUUGGGGCAACAUAGGAGAAGAACCAAACCUCCUAAAAGAUAUAAACCGAUGUUUUUAAAUAUGAAUAAACUACCUUAGGGAUAACAGCAUAAUUUUAAAAAUAAGUUUGUGACCUCGAUGUUGGACUAGGAAACCUAAGGGCUAGCCGCCUUUUGGUAAGGUUCUGUUCGAACUAUAAUUCCU